Molecule: ribosomal RNA, 617 nt
Filed under: uncultured bacterium
Lineage: Bacteria
Description: bacterial SSU rRNA
Rfam family: Bacterial small subunit ribosomal RNA
Source: RNAcentral
CCUACGGGAGGCAGCAGUGGGGAAUUUUGGACAAUGGGCGCAAGCCUGAUCCAGCCAUGCCGCGUGUGGGAAGAAGGCCUUCGGGUUGUAAACCACUUUUGUCAGGGAAGAAACGGCCUUUACUAAUAUUAGGGGCUAAUGACGGUACCUGAAGAAUAAGCACCGGCUAACUACGUGCCAGCAGCCGCGGUAAUACGUAGGGUGCAAGCGUUAAUCGGAAUUACUGGGCGUAAAGCGUGCGCAGGCGGCUUUGCAAGACAGAUGUGAAAUCCCCGGGCUCAACCUGGGAACUGCAUUUGUGACUGCAUGGCUAGAGUACGGUAGAGGGGGAUGGAAUUCCGCGUGUAGCAGUGAAAUGCGUAGAUAUGCGGAGGAACACCGAUGGCGAAGGCAAUCCCCUGGACCUGUACUGACGCUCAUGCACGAAAGCGUGGGGAGCAAACAGGAUUAGAUACCCUGGUAGUCCACGCCCUAAACGAUGUCAACUGGUUGUUGGACGGCUUGCUGUUCAGUAACGAAGCUAACGCGUGAAGUUGACCGCCUGGGGAGUACGGCCGCAAGGUUGAAACUUAAAGGAAUUGACGGCUGAGAGNGCGAGACGACGACGAGGGAGGAGG